Molecule: ribosomal RNA, 456 nt
Filed under: Salmonella enterica
Lineage: Bacteria; Pseudomonadati; Pseudomonadota; Gammaproteobacteria; Enterobacterales; Enterobacteriaceae
Also listed under: 1 other name
Description: bacterial SSU rRNA
Rfam family: Bacterial small subunit ribosomal RNA
Source: RNAcentral
AAAUUGAAGAGUUUGAUCAUGGCUCAGAUUGAACGCUGGCGGCAGGCCUAACACAUGCAAGUCGAACGGUAACAGGAAGCAGCUUGCUGCUUCGCUGACGAGUGGCGGACGGGUGAGUAAUGUCUGGGAAACUGCCCGAUGGAGGGGGAUAACUACUGGAAACGGUGGCUAAUACCGCAUAACGUCGCAAGACCAAAGAGGGGGACCUUCGGGCCUCUUGCCAUCGGAUGUGCCCAGAUGGGAUUAGCUGGUAGGUGGGGUAACGGCUCACCUAGGCGACGAUCCCUAGCUGGUCUGAGAGGAUGACCAGCCACACUGGAACUGAGACACGGUCCAGACUCCUACGGGAGGCAGCAGUGGGGAAUAUUGCACAAUGGGCGCAAGCCUGAUGCAGCCAUGCCGCGUGUAUGAAGAAGGCCUUCGGGUUGUAAAGUACUUUCAGCGGGGAGGAAGGUG